RNAcentral lists this ribosomal RNA (235 nucleotides) under uncultured bacterium. RNAcentral's name for it is "partial 16S ribosomal RNA". It matches the Rfam family "Bacterial small subunit ribosomal RNA", at positions 118 to 351 of the family's 1533-position model. The record is from RNAcentral.
UGAGUAACCUGCCCUUGACUCUGGGAUAAGCCUGGGAAGCCGGGUCUAAUACUGGAUACGACCUUCUGGCGCAUGCCAUGUUGGUGGAAAGCUUUUGUGGUUUUGGAUGGACUCGCGGCCUAUCAGCUUGUUGGUGAGGUAAUGGCUCACCAAGGCGACGACGGGUAGCCGGCCUGAGAGGGUGACCGGCCACACUGGGACUGAGACACGGCCCAGACCUCCGUACGGGAGGNAG